RNAcentral lists this ribosomal RNA (481 nucleotides) under uncultured bacterium. RNAcentral describes it as "partial 16S ribosomal RNA". It matches the Rfam family "Bacterial small subunit ribosomal RNA", at positions 28 to 507 of the family's 1533-position model. The record is from RNAcentral.
GAUGAACGCUGGCGGCGUGCUUAACACAUGCAAGUCGAACGAAGCAUUUAAGACAGAUUACCUCGGUCGGUAGCCUUUGAUGAGUGAGUGACGGACGGGUGAGUAACGCGUGGGAAACGUGCCUCAUCCAGGGGGCUAGCAGCUGGAAACGGCUGGUAAUACCGCAUAAGCGCACAGUACCACAUGGUACAGUGCGAAAAUCUCUGGUGGUAUCAGAUGGACCCGCGCCUGAUGAGCUGGUAGGCGUGGUAACGGCCCACCAAGGCGACGAGCAGUAGCCGGCCUGAGAGAGUGGCCCGCCACACUUGCACUGGGACCCGGUCCAGACUCCUACGCGAGGCAGCAGUGGGGAAUAUUGCACCAUGGAGGAAACGCUGAUGCAGCGACGCCGCGUGAGUGAAGAAGUAGUUCGCUAUGUAAAGCUCUAUCAGCAGGGAAGAUAGUGACGGUACCUGACUAAGAAGCUCCGGCUAACUACGUG